UCAGAGCAGGGGGUUAUGGGAGAUUAUACCCAAGUAAUAUGUUGGCAUGUAUGUAUGGAAGCAACUACCUGCCCACCAAAAUGGUGCUGCUGCUGCUGCCAUGUGGGUGAGACCUUAAUUCUGCUUGUUUGUCUGCGCGUCAGAGAGAGAGUGUGAGUGAGUGAGCAUUACAGUGCAGUAAGUGUGCCCGUGGCUACCUGUGGCUGCUGCACCGAGUUAACCCACCAGAUGCCACUGUCGGGCUGAAUGCAGAAUUUAUUCUGAUUUCCCGGUGCCUCCCACCUGUAAUUCACUUGUGGGAAUUGUAGUUCAGAGGAGUCUAUCUCACUCUUUCUCUCAUUCUGCACAGGGCCACCAGCAUGGAGCACAGUUCCUGCUGCUGUCGCUGACUCUGCUGUCACUGGAGAAGGAUGAAGGAGCCACCGGAUAAGAAGCCACCGGAGGGGGGUGAAAAAGUAUUUGCUGCUGAAUUUUAGAGCCUGGAAUAUCUGGAAAAAGAAGUAUUUACUAACAACCUCACCACCCACUGCCCAGUUCAACACUACCAGCCGCUGACUGAUUGGACCUCACCACGGUGCUACUUCCUGUCUCCAUUCAGACCUCGGUGAUGCACACACCUGGGACAUGUCUAUACUUUUCUGGCUUUAUUAUGUCUGUAUAUGCCAGUGGGUACAUGAGUAUACAGAGUACAUUCAAUGAUGGGGAAUGGAGGGAGAUUCCCAGGAAUGACCAUUAGAAACAGAAUCUCCAACCAGUUAAUCCAGUGUGAGAAUGCUUGGUGGAGCAGCUGUACCCACAGGAGGACUGGCACGUGUCACUCACAGAUGAAGGAGUAUCACAGAAGGCGACCACUCCAGCACCAACGGGAGGAAAGAAAAAAGAAUGAGAUCCUGAUAACCCGGCACAGCUCUCUCCAGAGCCAGUGAGUCAAACUGCUCAUUCAUUGAUCAUCCUGCCCAGUGUAUUUAUAACUAUCUCUCCUAUUCCUAUUCCAGUCUCUUAUUCAAAUCAGUGCAUGGUUGCUAGGGUAAUUUGGACCCUAGCAACCA
Molecule: long non-coding RNA, 1049 nt
Organism: Xenopus laevis (African clawed frog)
Lineage: Eukaryota; Metazoa; Chordata; Amphibia; Anura; Pipidae
Exons: 4
Source: RefSeq, a predicted model, not a curated record